GGUUUAGUAUGGCAGAGCAACAACCCAUGAGACAGUACUCAUUUCAAUACCACGCCUGGCUAUCAAUUAUUUUUUCAAUUAAUACUAUAGAAUGAUUGUUACUUUGGGAUUGUAUCGGUUAGACUAAAAAGAUGAUUAAAUUAAUUUAUGUAAGACCUUUUUAAAAAAACGAGUCAAUCACUUUGUUUUCAGCCCCAACUUUGGAAGACCUGGAAAGGCGAAAUCUGAGGAUCAAAGUUUGCGAGCUGGCUCAUACGUGGUCAACAUUUCUGUUCUAUAGCUCUGGGGGAAGACGUGCUCUGACAGUGAUCAGUAAAAUCUUGAAAUCAAUUCUAAAUUCUACAGGGAACCAGGGGAAAGGAACCAGGAUUGGUGGGACGUGACGCUGUAUGUUGAAACCAGUGACUGCGACAUUUUAGAGUGACUUUUUAUUAAUGAAAAAAGCCGGAAGGACUUUUUCCACGUCCGCUUGGGAGAGGAUUGGUUGAUGUUUUUUUCUUUUUGAAGACAGAAGAUAAGGAAAAAAAAUGGCAGAUAAAGGACCGAGGGUACUGUCAAUGGGACCGAUCGCGUUCGGUGGAUUGAAAAAUAUGAUUUCUGAUUCAACAUUAUACUAACAUUAUAUUAACAUAUUAACAUUAUGUUGCCAUUCAACAGUUUAUAUUAUUGAGAAAAGUUCCUAUUACCAAUGAGCUAUAAAUAAUUAGUAAAAUUAAUAUCAAGACCGCAUGUAGUUUCAUUUGCGAUGUUGGAUGAAAAAGAACUGUUUUAAAGUUGCUAAAAUAACUAGAAAUGUCCCUGCUGGCAUUUACAACAUGGUCAGGUCAUUUGUUGCCUUAUAGCCUUGAUCAUAUCGGUAUGCAUCCCCACUACCAGUCACCUCAAAUCAGGAGGGCACCAGGUUCGGUCCCGGACUUGACGGUCCUUCCAUGUGAGGUUGACAUGUUCUUCCUCAGCGUAGUUUUUUUUUUCUGCGUCACCAGCUUCGUCGGCCAAAGUCAUGCAUCUUUGAUGAAUUGACAUCUAUAAGUUUCUUGCUGACGUGAACGUGAGCUUCAAGGGGUGUCUCUUAAAUGCCUCGCACUGGCCCGUAUAGUUAAUUCCUUAUUUUAUAAAUACAUUUCCUACAUUUCUUCACAAAGACCUCAGACAAGUGUAGGCUUAUUUUCUAAAUUUCCAUCACUUGGUGUUUUCUUCUCCCAAGAGCCAAAGAGUCCAUUGUUUUGCCUGCGUGUGACAAAGCGAGGGAGCGGCACUUCCUUAUCUGAACUCGGAUGUGUCACUUGCUAUGUGGGAGAAUGGUGGAAACGCAGCGCGCCUUGGGACAUUGUAACAAAGUCCCUUGUGCCACCAGCCCCCCCUGACACAAUUACCCACUCAUGUCUAAUUGGCAUUUGAGGCUUCUCUGCUUGAUCGACCAUGGCCACAUCAGCAUGAAGUGGCAGGGCAGCGUUUCCCAAGCUGUGACUUAACUGGUAUCACGCUUUGUUACUCUCCUAGCUGCUUACAUAAUUUGCCGAUGUAAAUUUACUCUGCCUAAUUAACAUCGUCAGCCUUUUCAUUUGAUCUAAACAGACAUGGGAUGCAUCCGGUCCCUGGUGCUGCUGUCCGUUUUGCUGGCUUGUGAGUGGCGGUCCCUGGGACUGUCUGUUGACUGCAGUGCUGGAGUCGAUGCAACUUGGUUGAAUAAAUCCAUUCCUCCGUACACACACGAGUCAGCCUUGGCGUCUUCAGUCGACAAGUGGGCUUGGGCAUGAAACUAACUUUCCAGAACUGUCAUGGAUUAAGAAAUUAAGUUCAUCUCAGUUGUUGGUUGAUUGGAACUGAGCACUUAACUUGAUAUUGGUUUAGACAAUGGUGCAUGAACAAUGGACCGGCCUCGCUGUGGAGAGGAGCUGUGUGAUAUUUGAGGUGACAGCACUACAGACAAAUAAUCAUAUACUCCCAAUUAGAGUUCUUCUCUGUACUUUAUAGUCCUUGCAAUGCUUAAUGGCCUGUUCGCACAGAACCAUCUCUGGACGCCUACAUGGUCAUUAUUAUCCAACCGGAUCUCGUGUGUUCACAAAUGACAAACGUCUGGAAUAUUGAUUCGUUAACCUUCAAAGUGGGACCAUUAAAUGCCGAUGGCAGAAUUAUUUAAAUGUACAAAUUUAGGAUAAUGUGCUCUGAGAGUGGUGUUUGUGUUUGGUCCCCGUGUUGUAAGGAUGGAUCCGGAGUUCUGAGUCGUGAACUGCUCUUAUUGUGAUGCUGAGACAUCAACCUUCACCAAUUAGCCGUUAUUGUGAUUCUGUGUUGGAUGACAACAGUUGCGUUGUGCAAACCGUGGUUGAUGCUAAAGCAGAGACUGCAGCUGGUGAGAGCUGGCCUGAUGCGUACCAAGCCAGCCACUCAUUCAGCCAGUCAGGAUAUUAGAUCAGACUGGUGGUUUUGUGAUGGUGGCAGGGUCAGUGAGCAUCUCAUCCGCGUCCCCCCGCCUCCCCACCCAGCUCGCUCCCGUCGCCGCUCACCCAUUUGCUUCUCUGCCGCACUGCAGGGUAAUCAGGACAGUGACACUUUAUGAGAGAGGGGACGACAAAAGGAUUUACACACAAAGCCUGGCAGAGGAAUAUAUCUCAUUGGCCUCCAGUUUGAACCUGAGUGCAUAAGCACUAAAGUUUAGUUUAGCCUAAUUGUUUUUGUUCGCUUGCAUCGGGUGAUGCUGACUCACUCGUGAUUAUUUUUUUUUUAUUUCUUCAUUUGCUGCAGUAAGCAUCGCAAAGAGAUUCCUCAGCCUUUCCGUGCCAACUUUCUUGGAAAUAAUAGUGACGGCCUAUUGCGCUAACUCAUGGUAGUUCAACAACAAUAUCAAUUUAAACAAUGUAUUUAAAUAAAAAGUAUAAACGGGUGAGUAAUGCGUAUUGGUACAUUGGUGGUAAUCCUGGAGUGUGACUGAAAUUAGAGUUGAAAUGAUUAAAUAUUGAUAACUCCUCUCUGUGUCCAUUGCUAGCCCAUUUAUAAUUCAUUCUACCUUCAAGGUAGAAUGCAAGAUGACCCCUUUUUUAUUCAGAACUUUGCUUGCUAACUCUUGCUCUCAUAAGUUGUGAUUCCAUUUGGCUGCACUUACAUUUAGCUGUUUUUUUUAUUUGGUUUUCCUGUAUUUGAAAAUAGAUUCCAUACUUUGUCUUCAAUACUGUUCCCAUAUAUAUAGAUAUAGAUAAGCAAUGCAUGCCCAAUGUAUCUAUUGGAUCGAGCGUCUGAGUUCAAUAUAAUGUUAAUUUAUGCCACAGUAAGUACGUGUACGAACAUGAAAAAGCAACAAAAACGGGGUCCUGAAAUAAAACAUGCUAGUGAAAUAUCUUCCCCCGUUGAAUUACAUCCUGUAGGGGUUUUGACUGAAACAGACAAGAACUGGAACAGUGUGUACGCUUGACAAAAACGCGCCUUUGCAUGGACUUUAGCUUUUACUUGCAAAAUGUUUUAGGAGAUGUGCAGAAAUUUAUUAUGGGGGGGAAAAAGCAUGUUUUCUUGUGAACGCUGGCAAAGAGCGCAGAAAACAAGAAAGCAGAGCGUGUUCUGUAAUGUUCCCUUCUGGUUGAGCCAGUUCCCAUCACCGGAGUUCCUCCCUGCGUCGGGGUUCUGCUGCCUGUCAGCUCGGCUGUAGUGUUCAUACAUGAGCCAUGUUCCUUUUGGUGCAGUAUUUUCUGCCUCCUGGAUACUUUGUUCUUUCAACCUCAACUUGACAUUGUUAUUCCUGCUUAUGUUCAAGGCUGUAAUGAUUGGCUGUGACAAAAGAAGUAUCUCCCUCCAUCUUCGAAAAGGAGUGAUGGCCUCUAGACAGCUGUCAUUUACUAUUAGUCUGCUGUAUUCUCUUGAACUAAUUCUUAUUUCUUUGUGCUUUUAGUAAUGUCCAUGAUGCUUUUUCCUCCUCUAUUACAGACAAUGUAAAGCUUGUUCUUUUCCCUAAACCCAUAACUGUCUCUGUUAAUUAAAUAAUCACUUAAUCUUUUGCCGUUAAUUGCGAUUUAAUUGGCCUGAUUACUUCAUUAUCUCAUGAAUGUCUCAGAUAAUUAGCUCGGUGUUAAAUACUGUGAUAUUUUUUUCACUGAAAGAUGGAAAGAAUUCCCCUUGAUUAGUUAAUGAGAUUAAUUAUACUCAGUGAUACACCAGGUAUAAUUGUGAAAGUUCCUACCUGUGAUUCCCGUUUAACGCCAUUAAUGAAAAAGCCCUGUAAAUGAAGGCACAUGUGUCUUUAUCAGGUAAUUAAUUAAAAGCCAUGGCACACAGUUUAAAUGUGAAAUGUAGAUAUAUUUAUACCUUUUUAUAUGCAUACUACUUAAGUGAAAAAAGGAGUUCUGUCUUCAGAAACUGUUCGUUCUGAAAUAGGUCAAUAUGAGUUAACAUUUCUCUGGCUUAGAAUUUGAAAUGAAGAUGGUUCUUUUAAAAAAAAAUAUAUUUUUAGGUUUAAAAGUUUUCCAGACAUCUUUGCUUGAAUUGGACUUUGCAUCUCUUAAAUUGUAAUUGCUUGUUAAGCGUGGACAAAGUUAGAAAAGUGACCUAAAAUCUGCCUCUCUGAUGAGUUUGAAUCAGAUAUUAAGCCCAUUUCACAGAAACUGUAGCUUGAACGAGGUCAGCAUGUGUGGAAUCAAGCUGAAUCAAUCAGCAUGGUUAGACUUUAGUGGAGUAUAACCAAUGAGAACAUGAUAGCCUGAGUUUAAUAUCCAAUGCAGCUGGAAAAUCUAGCAGUGUGCCGAAAAUCUGAAGAUGGCUGGCAGCCUCGUCUGUCUAUGUCUGUGUUUCUGUAUCUUUCCUUUCUCCACACUCCGUCUUUCCCUCUGUGUGCGUCUGCAGUCAGAGGGUAGAGUCAGUUUUACUGUCACUACCUGUGAAAUUGUAUUCCAAGAAGAUGGAUGCUUUCUCUUAUAUUCAUGACAUCCAGUGAAGCACAGUCACCUCCAAAACUGUUUAAUAUGGAUGCCGUGGAGGCGGACGCACAUACACUCGUUCAUACACGCAAACACAGUACAUGUGCAUGCACACAAACACGAGGACAUAAAUGUACUCCUUGCAAGCCUGCACACUUGCAAACACACUAUUUUUUUUUGUUGGCCUCAAAGACAAUGCAUGGCUGGUGUUUGCUCGUGCUGAUGAUGAAGAGUGGUAGUGACAAUGCCGCUCUCAGUAGGGUUGAUGCAUUACAACACAGUGCUGCCAUGUUGCGUAAAUCCUCUGUCUCUCCUCAUUGAGAACAUGGAGGCUUCUCAUCCAGUGUGGUACACCAGUGCACUUUAGCUCUUCUGCUCCUCUUUUGUUUCAUCUCUGGAGUUCCGUGAUGACAUUCACUCACUGUAGCCUAGUCGUCCAUUUUGAUGGUAUUGUGGCGUUGCCUGUUGUCUUAAGUGCGCUUGUAUUUCUCUUUUUCCAGCUGAGUGGCAGUCCGGGGUCGUGUCGUGCUCAGAGGUGUCCCUGUGGGUCCCUGUGCAGCCACUGAAGAGUACAUGUGCUCUGCAGGUGUAGCCCACCUUCCUCCCCUCAAGGGGAGAAACCCUGCAGCAUAAUCUCCUCAGGCUGGACUGGAAGUAAAAGGAGUUGGGAUCCGUGCUUGCAGGGCUUGUGCGUGCAUGUCCGGUUGGGUGUGUGUGUUUAUUCGCCCUGAUGGAGAGGACGAAGGUGCAGGGGUGUGGCCCGCGGGUCAAGGCGGCAGAGGAGACUCACAGUUGAGGGGUUUGUGAGCUGCAGCUGCAGAAAUAAACAAGAUUAAUAAAUCAACACUGCACAAAGGUUAGGACUCUGACGGUACCAACAGGACCUCCCUCUCCCCGUCUUUUUCACUCUCACCUUCCCUUCUCUCGUCCACCACUACCUUAAUAAGCGAUGGAUUCCCACAAGUCCUUGGGGGGCCUUGUUAUGGUUCAUCUGGGCUGUGUUUUCCCUCUCGGCACAAUGCUACAGUACUUAGCCAGCACCUUGCUCCUGUCUCCGCGGGUCCAGGGCCUCCAAAGUGUACACGGUUUGUCUGUUCUAUGAGCCGCCUGGACCUUCAAGUACCUCCUUCUGACAUCCUGAUACAACGGGGCUGUCACUUGACGAUUUUUACAUUUACAGCGAUACAAAACCACACAGUGCCUGUGUACCCCUGUAAAAAUAUCUCCAUGGAGAGAUUCGUUGAACAGCUGCAAUGUUGCUGCAUUUCGUUCUCUGUGUGCCUGUUUGGUUGAGCGCCAUUGUACAACUACACUUGGGCGCCAUGCAGGUCGUCCUUUGGUGAGGAGGAAAAGAGGAAUCAGAGCCUGUAGGAAUGGGGUUCAGAAGAGGGGUUUUGUGUAAUCCUAUUCUAAAUUCAGCAUCAGAUCUUUAGGGGAGCUGUGUAAAACCAGUAUGUUUUUCUUGUCUUUACUUUUGCUGCACACCUCAAAAAAUGAUGAUCGCACAUGGCUUUUCAGCUAUCUAACCCUCAAGGCAAAAUGUACCAGGCUGCUAGGCGGCGUUACCGCUUCCUCCUCCUAGAGACCGCUAACCCCCUCAAAGGAUGCUGAUGUCUGGAGACGGAAUGCCUAUAAGCAGAAAAAGCAGGAAGAAGAAGGGAGAUUCGGGAUGGGGUGGGGGUAACAAGGAGUUUGUGGGGGGGGUCGGGAGAGGGGGGGCAUGGAGUAGAAUGGAAAGAGGGAGGGAGUAUCUGUUUGAUUCAAAGAAAAAAAAAAGUCAAUUCGGUCCCCCUGUUCUUUGUAGAACAUUUAGCUAUGACCCUCCCUUGCUUUCACUACUCCCUCCCCCCACAACCCCCACUGCGACCCCCCCCCCACUCAUACACACACAGGCACACAGGGUCCAGCAGAUCUGCAGGAUAUCACACCAGAGAGCUUUCUCUAUCUCCUUCCCAGAGAUGCAUGCUUCUUAAUACACCUUCCCUGUAUGGUGUGUGUAUAUGUCCACGCUGUUGCAACAGGCACUGAAGGAGGAGAGAAGGAAAUAAGGAGAGAGAGUGACAGGAAGGGAGAGAGGGAGGAAGACGGAGACGUAGAGGGAGAGUCAGACUGAAAUAGUAAAAGGGAGGGGGGGGGGGGAGCUUUAUAUGUUCGUUACAUGUUUAUGAUGCUGUGAAAAAUAUCAAUUUAGAUCCAAAAAACAACAACAACAAAAAGAACAAAAACAAGCCCGAGGACAGAAUCUUGAGUUUUUGCUCAUAUUUCUGGUGAACUAGUGCACAUAGCUGCAGCCCAAGCCCUGACCAGACCUCUACUUGUGCUGAGCAGACUGGAGGCGACCCAGGGUAAGUUAUGGGCUCUUUUUUCUUUCUCUCCCUCUCUCUGCGCUGCUGAUUACAAUGCCGCUGAUUGAUUGGUUCGAGGCUGUGGAUUAUCACGGGCCGCUCGUCACCAGGUACCUGAUGAUGAGAGGAGAGCGAGACUAGAGGAGAGGAGGAAAGGGGGGAGGAGAGGAGGGGGGGGAGGGGAGAGGGUUGUAAAUUAGAUGAGCAUGGCCGGUGUUCACAUCACCACAUCUCACUCACUAUCUGUCUGAUUUCGGUGUUUACUCUGCCAUUGCACAUUUGUGUACCGCAUGUGCAAAAAUUGAUUUUGUGCAUUUGUGUGUGCUUGUGCAUCCUCUCGGUGUGCGUGUGUGGUCCCAGCUGGCACACGUUGCCAGCCCGCCUACCUUUCCGGCGUGUGCUGAUGAGGCUGUGGGGAGGGUUUUUGCUGAUGAGGCAAAGCCAGAGGGGCCUUUUUGUGAGUAUGCAGAUGAGGGGCAUGUGCAAAUGGGAGGGGUCUCGACGUGAGUGUGCGCCACACGCUUUAUUGUUUCUGUGCUCUCCACGGGGAGCUUGAUCCUCAACAGAUUGCCCGGGUUUGGUGUGAUCUUGCCGCCGCUUUGUUUGGGGCAUUCACUCCCCAAGAUGCAGAAGGAGAAUAGGAGAGCCGGGGAGGGGGGGAAACCGAAUAGAAAAAUACAGUUAAAGAGACGGGAGAAAAAAAAAAUGGUAGAGCGGCUUCAGGGCAUAUUUUCACCCCAUUGACAAGACGUGAUGAUUGCUGUUUUGCCCCCUCCCUCCUCCCCUAUCCCUCCCCAGACGUUUUUCUAAUCCAUUUGCAUGUCAAAGCAGUAGAGGCCACUGUGCAGAUUAGUAUGAGAUGACAUAAUGAUGUAAUGAAUUAAAUGCUCCUGUUUAAGCGCUGCACUUCGCUUUAGUGGGAGGCAGGGGACGGGGGAUGAGGGGCAAAUAGGAGAGGAACAAGUAGGUAGAGUUUUCUCUUGCUGUUAUUUGAUCACAAUACACAUUUUUUGUUUUGAGUUUGCAGUGAAGUUAAUCAUAUUUAUAUAUUUUAGCUGCAUGUACAUUUUUUAACUUGAAAAUCUUCAGUGAUUACACCCUGUUAAACAUGGACUCUUUCACUGUAAAUCCAUUAGAAAAAUGUUCCUUUGCAAAUGUUAAUGAUCUGUAAGGGCUGCGUAUUUGUGAAAUGCAUCUUUUUAAACUCUUUU
Molecule: long non-coding RNA, 8457 nt
Organism: Gasterosteus aculeatus aculeatus (three-spined stickleback)
Lineage: Eukaryota; Metazoa; Chordata; Actinopteri; Perciformes; Gasterosteidae
Source: Ensembl